This 3447-nucleotide long non-coding RNA is filed under the name Gallus gallus (chicken). The record is from RNAcentral. Lineage: Eukaryota; Metazoa; Chordata; Aves; Galliformes; Phasianidae.
CGGGGUGCGAGGCAGGCAGUCUGCAAGCAAAUUUGAAGUGCUCUGCAAAGCACUGGAGUGGGGUUCCUCUGCUGCCAGGCCUGCGCAGCACAGUGCGGCCCUCACUCCCUGCUGCCCUGCAGCCUGCCGGGCCGCUCCAUUUGGGCACAGGGUUUAGCACAAGUGAGCAGGCAGCUCACGUGGUGAGCGGUGGGUGGCCAUGGCUGCCCUGUAUCUGCCUCCUGUUCACAUUUGCAGCAGCCGACUUCUAUGCAAGGCAGGGUCUAAAGUGGAUCCCGCUGAGUUUGGCCCAGUUUGGCUGGUGCUGUUCAGCUCAGGGACAGGAUGGAAGGAUGGAGCUGAGACUCAUAGAGCCAGCACUCCCAGCAUCCCAUUCCUGCAGUGGAUACACAGAUUACCUAUCAGUAGAGCUCCUUCUUAAGCCGGAUUGAUUGAGGCAGAAUUUGCAAUCGUUGAAUGAGAGAUGACACAGUCAUAGAAUGGCUCAGGUUGGAGGGGACGCUAAAGAUCACCCAGUUCCAGCCCACCGCCGUGGGCAGGGAUGUGGAUGGAGAACUGCUUUGUACUGUAACAGUUUCAUUUAGAAGCGAGAAGUCCUUCAUGAGGAGGUAGUGGGAGGAGGAGGUUAUUGACAAUGCCACUCCUGUCCGAAGGAAUGUGCUGGAAAGUUGCAGUGGCCUCUAGAUGGCAGCCCCAUUACUCACUCGUCAGAAAACUGAAAAUAAACGCCUUCCCUUUCAAAGCUGGACUUACAGGCAGGCCUAAAGCUUCGGGAGCUCAGACCAAAACCCGCGGGCAGUCAAGAUGACAGUGGGACCCAUCCGGCUUUGUUUUUUCCCCUUCGCCUCGCCCAAAAGGAGGAGCGAGGACUCGCUUCCCUCUGGACUCUGUAUUUGGUAAUGGGCCGGGAGCUGCCGCUGGGAGCUCGUCCUGACGUUCCUGGAGUCGUCUGGAAAGCGAGGCGGAGCCGCGGUGCUGUGCCCAGGGGUGCGCCUCGCCCCGGGUGCCGGCGGCUGUGCUGGGAGCGGGAGGUCCGCGCCGUGCUGCCGUGUGUGACCCGUGGGACGCGGGGCGGGCAGCUUCCACAGCACCAGAGCAGCGCUCUGCCAGAGCUAUUUGUAUAGUAAAUUGCUGUAUUGUUUCAAUUAAAAAAACGCAGCCGGGCAUUUAAUGGCUCCCAUCUGCGGCCACUCUGCGUAAUUCACUUCCCACUUUAAGGUUUGAAUUCUCCUUUUCUCUUGUAAUCGUGGGGACAAAAAGGGAGAGUUGAUGUCCCUAAUGUUGAUAGAUCUAUCUUCGUGCUCUCUGCUUUAAAUGAGGUUAACCGGGCUUUUGAGGGAGAAGAGUCAUAAAUAUUUCCUUGUGUGAGCGGAGAUGCUGGCACCGGGAAUCAUGGGAAUCCAUCUCAGCCAGCUAUUAACAGACUGUUAACAGACCGUCUUUCUAAUUGACUUAAAUGUUACUCAGUUGACCCCGUUUCAAUAUUUCCUGAGAACUCAUAGUCUUUACUUUUUCCAUCCUCGCAAUACCCUGGGAGCUAACUGCCGUAUUCACAGAGGGAGCUGAGGGAACCAGGUUCCAAAGGUGGUGGGGCCCUACAGGCGGGGCCUGGGGCUCACACGUCCGACCUGCGCUGACAUCCAAAGCAGUCGGGACCGCUGCUCUUCUGAAAUCCCACUGGGCUCCCUCUGGCGUCUUUAACACCUCAGUACUUACAGUACCUCUCGUAGUGGGAUUUGUGCGCGCACAGAAGGCAGGCGGCAUCCACAGGGUUUUGCCAGCAGAUUUAGUCUGAGCCUCAUCAGCAGGGGACCUGGAUAAGAAACCGUGGUCAGCUGCCUCUCAGCUCCGAGCCAGUCUUCCUCAAAGAGCGACGGUAACUUUGGAUGCCACGACUGCGUGACACGCAGCUGCAACCUUGACCUGGUAGGAUCUCCUACGGUCAGAUCCAGCAGAGAGGUAUGUGACUUCACUGUCAUGCACUAGCCUGCUCUGCCAGCUGGAUGAUUUAAGCACACCAAAACCAGAACAGCUCAAUAAAAUGGUUUCUGCGUGAACAGUUCAAUGAAAAUAUCUGCGAUUGGUUGUGGUAAAAAAUGCAAAUUAAAAACCCUUUCGGAUAUAGAAAAGAAAGACCAGAAAAUCGCCCUGUGUUGCCAGGACCGGAACAAAGCCAGGCACUUGGAAGCUGCCCCUGGAGGUGUUGGAGGAACGUGUAGUUGUGGUACUAAGGAACAUGGUUUAGUGGGCAACAGUGGUGGUAGGCGGAUGGCUGAACUGGAUGACCUUAGUGGUCUUUUCCAACCUUAAUGAUUCUAUGAUUCUGAGCAACCUGGGCAGCUGGAGAUGAGAGGAAGCAGGUUCUGGUCCUGUCUCUGCCAAAUGGUUUCUGGCUGCUCUCUUUAGUGCGUAGUUGCUAAACCUGUGCACCUGCCACGGAGGAGGUCAAUGAGAAAUCCUGGCUCUUGUUUCAGUGCCCUAGGGACACGGGAAUGUUUUUGGGGAGUUUUGUACUUGCAUCACUUGCAUCUGUGCUGUCCUUGGUAAAUGUGUUUGAGUUCCAAGGGGUUAGAGUCAGGAGUACUUGUGCUGCUUGGAAGGACAUAGUUCCUACACGGACCAGGCUCCUCUCUGCUGUUUGGAGAGCGAGACGGUGCAUGGGACAGGCGGUGUGAAGUCAGUGAGCUCGGGCUUGUUGCUAAGCCUGAGCCUUGUGUUAUCCACUCACAAAUCUAUCAGCACUUGGGAAUUCGGACUGAAGUUACGUCUGAGGCAAAUCCACACAUAUUAGAAGGUUAGAAAUAUGAUUUCGGGAUAACUCAUUGGCCUCUGCCUCUUCUCCCGUCCCACCUCUCUGCUUUGUUACUAUGAUGAGCAUCUCAUGGGGCACAUGGGAGACCAGCCUAGACUGAACUCGUUGUUGGGGACGCGGGUUUGGGAUUUGAGCAGCAGAGUGGCUGUGGUGCUCCUGGUGAGGUGGGAUUAGCCCUCACACGCUCUGCCAGCUGUCUGUCCUUCCACGCUGUUGGUCUGCUGUAGGAGGUGUGCAGUGGGAGCACAUGGGGCGUGAACACAGAGGUUCCUGCUGAGGCAGAAGAAGGUGGCGUGACCCCGAAAAAGGGAACAGGAGCUGCAACUUCCACCCUUGUGGGCUAAGAGGAACGACCACCCCUGAGGUCCCAUGAAGCUGCAGGCUGCUCCAGACCCACCCUUAUGCGGGAAGGAACACACCCUUGCCUCUGCCUGCAUGUGGCUGCAGGUUCCUCGCUGCAGCCCAGCCCUCCUGAUGAUGUGUGGCCUUCGGGUGGUGCGACACGGCGCUGCUGCGGAGUGGGCUGGCUGUGGUGGGCUUCCUCCUCGCCUUACUGCCACGUGCUGCCCCUACAAGACAACCUCCCGCCAGCUGGAAACCCAGCGCGGCCUCGUGUCCCCAAAAUAAAGAUUUUG